This 72-nucleotide transfer RNA is filed under the name Ornithorhynchus anatinus (platypus). It matches the Rfam family "tRNA". From Rfam's summary of the family: Transfer RNA (tRNA) molecules are approximately 80 nucleotides in length. Their secondary structure includes four short double-helical elements and three loops (D, anti-codon, and T loops). The record is from Rfam by way of RNAcentral. Lineage: Eukaryota; Metazoa; Chordata; Mammalia; Monotremata; Ornithorhynchidae.
AGCAGCGUGGCUCAGUGGAAAGAGCACGGGCUUGGGAGUCAGAGGUCAUGGGUUCGAAUCCCAGCUUUGCUA